This 1166-nucleotide long non-coding RNA is filed under the name Oryctolagus cuniculus (rabbit). Its description in RNAcentral is "lncRNA (ENSOCUG00000030144.1)". Lineage: Eukaryota; Metazoa; Chordata; Mammalia; Lagomorpha; Leporidae. The record is from RNAcentral.
ACUUUGCGACGAGGCCAGUCAGGGCAGCCUGCACCUUCAGACCCUUCAGCAAGAUGCUGCCAUGGCUCCUGGCAAGAAUGUAAGUGCACAUCACCAAACAAUGACACGUAAGCUGCACAGCUCUCCCAGGGCGGUCAGUGGGGGAGACCUUCUUGCACAGCGUUUCCACUGCUCCUGUCAGUACUGCGAGCUUCCGGGGGCACUCUACUUCCUUUUUCCCUCUGCAGCCCCUAGCUUCACCCCAUCCUCUCACAUCUCAGAAAUCUUGGGGAAGAAAACACACACUCACUGAUAGAGCCUUCCUCAAAGCUGGAGAGAGCAGGCUGUGUGCGACACUCAGGCACCUGCUUCGGCCCAGCCUGAGGACUAGGCAGUCGGCCCAGGGUCAAGGGUAACAUGGUCUCCCCGAACUUGGCAAGCCGAAGGAAGGCAGGGGUGCAUGGGAAGGAAACCCGCGCCAGCGUCUCCAGGCCCUAGACUUCGUUGAGAAGGGCUGAGACCUUGACGUGGGGAACGAGGAGCUUCAGCGUGUGGUGGGGCUUUCAUUCUUAGGGAGUCGUUAUUGCUGGUCCGAUCUCAGCCAACAUGCUGCUACUGAGUUGGGUGUAGAGAUGUACUCUUAGCAGGCCAGGGAAGGUCAAAACGGAGACCAGCAACGUCAACGCAUCUUAAAGUGGGGUGAGGUGAGAUGAUUACUUUAUUCUUUUUAGUUUGUCUAUAAGCCUAUAGGCUGGCCAUCCCUUGAGAGGACUGAGCAAAACAUGGAUGCCCAACACCCCUCACCCUCCCCAGAUCUGGCUUCAAGUGCCUACAGAUGUGAUGUGCCCUGAGAGCCUCAGUCAAGGGGGGGAUGGGAGAUGGGAAGCCCCCCCGCCUUCUAGUCACCGUGAACCUGUGGUCAAGUUCUUGGAGAACCCAUGUCCAUGUUCCAAAAGGGACAAUGUCCUGUUUUCCCCACCCCCAGUAGCUGGGGAGAAGCUAGCCAAAGCUGCAGCAUUAGGCAACAGAUGAGCCAGAACCGGGGUGGGGGUGCAGGUGAGAGCGGGAAAGGUGGGGGAUGCUCAGACGGGCAACCACACAGCCUCCUGCCUCUGCCUCUGUGUCCCGAAGAGCCUCCGCCAGGGUCACAGCCUUGGGCACGAGGAAGUGACUUGGUAGCCAUUUAA